AACCUCCGCAAUGUGAGAAAUCGCGACGGGGGGAUCCCAAGUGCCAUUCUUAACGGGAUGGCUUUUCAUUAGUGUAAAAAGCUUUUGGAAUAAGAGCUGGGCAAGACCGGUGCCAGCCGCCGCGGUAACACCGGCAGCUCUAGUGGUAGCAAUUUUUAUUGGGCCUAAAGCGUCCGUAGCCGGUUUAAUAAGUCUCUGGUGAAAUCCUGUAGCUUAACUGUGGGAAUUGCUGGAGAUACUAUUAGACUUGAGACCGGGAGAGGUUAGAGGUACUCCCAGGGUAGAGGUGAAAUUCUGUAAUCCUGGGAGGACCGCCUGUUGCGAAGGCGUCUAACUGGAACGGUUCUGACGGUGAGGGACGAAAGUUAGGGGCGCGAACCGGAUUAGAUACCCGGGUAGUCCUAACCGUAAACGAUGCGGACUUGGUGUUGGGGUGGCUUUGAGCUGCUCCAGUGCCGAAGGGAAGCUGUUAAGUCCGCCGCCUGGGAAGUACGGUCGCAAGACUGAAACUUAAAGGAAUU
This 521-nucleotide ribosomal RNA is filed under the name uncultured bacterium. RNAcentral describes it as "bacterial SSU rRNA". It matches the Rfam family "Archaeal small subunit ribosomal RNA", at positions 345 to 866 of the family's 1478-position model. The record is from RNAcentral.